RNAcentral lists this ribosomal RNA (253 nucleotides) under uncultured bacterium. RNAcentral's name for it is "partial 16S ribosomal RNA". It matches the Rfam family "Bacterial small subunit ribosomal RNA", at positions 524 to 776 of the family's 1533-position model. The record is from RNAcentral.
UACGAAGGGGGCUAGCGUUGCUCGGAAUUACUGGGCGUAAAGGGCGCGUAGGCGGAUGGCACAGUCAGAUGUGAAAUUCCCGGGCUUAACCUGGGGGCUGCAUUUGAUACGUGUUGUCUAGAGUGAGGAAGAGGGUUGUGGAAUUCCCAGUGUAGAGGUGAAAUUCGUAGAUAUUGGGAAGAACACCGGUGGCGAAGGCGGCAACCUGGUCCUUGACUGACGCUGAGGCGCGAAAGCGUGGGGAGCAAACAGG